GAUGAACGCUGGCGGCGUGCCUAAUACAUGCAAGUCGAGCGAACGGACGAGAAGCUUGCUUUUCUGAUGUUAGCGGCGGACGGGUGAGUAACACGUGGAUAACCUACCUAUAAGACUGGGAUAACUUCGGGAAACCGGAGCUAAUACCGGAUAAUAUUUUGAACCGCAUGGUUCAAAAGUGAAAGACGGUCUUGCUGUCAUUUAUAGAUGGAUCCGCGCUGCAUUAGCUAGUUGGUAAGGUAACGGCUUACCAAGGCAACGAUGCAUAGCCGACCUGAGAGGGUGAUCGGCCACCCUGGAACUGAGCCGCGGUCCAGACUCCUACGGGAGGCAGCAGUAGGGAAGCUUCGGCAAUGGGCGGAAGCCUGACGGAGCAACGCCGCGUGAGUGAUGAAGGUCUGCGGAUCGUAAAACUCUGUUAUUAGGGAAGAACAUAUGUGUAAGGAACUGUGCACAUCUUGACGGUACCUAAUCAGAAAGCCACGGCUAACUACGUG
Molecule: ribosomal RNA, 497 nt
Filed under: uncultured bacterium
Lineage: Bacteria
Description: partial 16S ribosomal RNA
Rfam family: Bacterial small subunit ribosomal RNA
Source: RNAcentral